AAGCAGACUUGAAGUCUAUUUUAUGCGAAUACUGAGCGAUGCCACACGGUAACUGCCAAUCAGAGUGAAAAGGCAGCGUGACGUCAGCUUGUUGUUCGCUCCAACAACAUAAUCCAAGAUGGCAGAAUCUGCUGA
Thalassophryne amazonica is the source of this 135-nucleotide long non-coding RNA. RefSeq lists it as uncharacterized. The transcript is spliced from 3 exons. Lineage: Eukaryota; Metazoa; Chordata; Actinopteri; Batrachoidiformes; Batrachoididae. The record is from RefSeq and is a predicted model, not a curated record.